GCGUGAGUGAAGAAGGCCUUAGGGUUGUAAAGCUCUUUCAGUUGGAAAGAUAAUGACGGUACCAACAGAAGAAGCUCCGGCUAACUCCGUGCCAGCAGCCGCGGUAAUACGGAGGGAGCUAGCGUUAUUCGGAAUUACUGGGCGUAAAGAGUACGUAGGCGGUUUGUUAAGUUGGAAGUGAAAUCCCAGGGCUCAACCCUGGAACUGCUUUCAAAACUGGCAAACUAGAGAUUGAUAGGGGACAGUGGAAUUCCUAGUGUAGAGGUGAAAUUCUU
Molecule: ribosomal RNA, 275 nt
Filed under: uncultured bacterium
Lineage: Bacteria
Description: partial 16S ribosomal RNA
Rfam family: Bacterial small subunit ribosomal RNA
Source: RNAcentral